This 502-nucleotide long non-coding RNA is filed under the name Callithrix jacchus (white-tufted-ear marmoset). RNAcentral describes it as "lncRNA (ENSCJAG00000081757.1)". The record is from RNAcentral. Lineage: Eukaryota; Metazoa; Chordata; Mammalia; Primates; Cebidae.
CAUAAAGCAAUCAAUUAGCACCUUUGGUUGUUGGCUGAAAGUCUGGAAUCCACCCAGGGGUUUUGGCUAUUUUGAGUAAGGUUGCAAUGAACAAGUCUGGCAUGACUUUGGAAGACAGAUAUUUCUUUCCACUGGGGAUACAUCCAAGAGUGAAGCUUCUUCCCACAAAUCUCUUCAGAUCCCACAUCAGCGUGCCCAAUAGAGUACAGCCUGGUGAACUCCUCUGGUGAGUCCUGCCCUCAUCAGCAGCCAACACAACAGCCUCCAAUGGCUCUUCCCACCCUCUGCUGCAAUUGUUUAUGAGCCUCUCUCUAACUGUGGACUUCCUAGGAGCAAUAUAGAAUAUGAUUUCUCUUUAAAAUCUUUCCUCCUGCUUCCACUUAGUGUCUGACAUAUAAGAAGUGCUUAGUAAAAGUUGAUUGAAAAUGUUAAGUGUUUUCCUUUUGAAAUAACAAGAAGAAAAACAAAGAUGAGGAAUAAACUCUACACCACCCCCCCCCCC